RNAcentral lists this long non-coding RNA (306 nucleotides) under Mytilus galloprovincialis (Mediterranean mussel). The record is from RNAcentral. Lineage: Eukaryota; Metazoa; Mollusca; Bivalvia; Mytilida; Mytilidae.
CAACUAUCUUGGGAUUUAUUUUUCACGAAAUGGCACAUUUAAACACUGUAGAAAACACCUAGCAGAAAAAGCUACAAAGGCAAUGUAUGAGGUGAUCAAAAAGGGGAGAAAACAUGGGUUAUCUAUUAGUUGUCAAUUAGAUUUAUUUGACAAAUUAGUGAAACCGGUCUUAUUGUACGGUUGUGAAAUUUGGGGGUUGGGAAUAACGACAUUUUGGAGAGAGUUCAAUUAAAAUUCUGUAAGCUUCUUCUGCACCUAAAGUCUUCUACCCCAAAUUGUGUAAUAUAUGGUGAACUUGGACGAUAU